CAAGAAAGGUACAAGGCUUCCGGGAUGUCCUGCUCAAAUGUAUGGGUUUUGUCCUGAAAGAGAUAAAGAAUCAUCAAAUCUUUUGAAACAGGAGGUUACAAACAAUUUAGGUUUUGGAAAGAUUGCCUGGCAAUGAACACUUGCUGUUGGUGCUAGAAUGUUGUAUGUUGUGUGCAUUUUCAUGCAGGUACUCACACAUGACACAAGCAGUAGAAAUGGACUCUGGCAAACAGAGCACAGAGUUUAUUGGAGAGGUUUAAGGACCUCACAGAAUCUAUUUAAUCUGGGGAACUGAGCUUGGAAAAUGGGUAGGAACCAAAGUAAUGAAAGUGUGGGACUUGAGCCAAGCUGGAUUCAGUGCUUUGGCUUCAGAGAUUGAUUUCUCAACUGUCCUUGCUGCUUGGCCUCAUUUGCUCAAGAUUUAAAGUCCCAGAUAUCAACAUUCAGUGGAAAGAAUCUCUGUCAGGGGGCCCAGGCUCUAGACUGACCCACAGACUCCCCUGGUCCCACCAAGGUCACCCAACUGGGGAUUUCUUCCAGAGAGGAAGGGUGUGCUGAGGGGCAGAAGGGGAAAAACAAAUCCACCAUCGUGCACAUUCACGAGGUCUUUAAAAUUUGAAUGGGAGAAAUGUGUGCUGAGACCACCCAAUUGAGCAUCGCCUCUGAGGAUGACACCAAAAGAUGGUCCCAGAAAGGGCAGAGUCAGUGAGGUCAGUCUUUAUUGGUGUAUAUAGAUGAAUUGCUGAGCACAUAGCUCCCAAGUCACCAUGGCCUCAGCAUAGACUUUUCUCAAACCGUAGCUUCAAGUGUAGGGUAGGUUGGUGUGUGCGUGUUGGGGGCCCUGCUCCAUUCACCUUCUCAGGGACCCAACUUCCAUCCAUUUGGUAACUCAGUGGGUCCCUAGAUCUUCAGCAUCUCCUUAAUCACUCAGAAGAUAAGGAAAGCCAAGGACUGCCCACUUGCAUGCAUGGUGCAUUGGCCAAAACUCCAUCACCUGGCCCCAUCUUUCAGCGGCAGAGGCAGGAAGAUGUGCCCAGGUGUUGGGAAUAGGUAAGCAUUACAGCCUCUACCUCAGACCCCUCCAGUUUGCUGGAAUAAGCCCUAUGAAUCCUCUUUGCGUGAAAAUAAGUUUAAAAUCAUGUGUCUUCCCUGAUCUUUUAGUAGAGCACUGUGUUGAGAGGAUUUUGAAGCCAAAUCCAGGAUAAGUGGUAAAGAAUUCUGUGGCUGAUGGGCUAAGUAUGCCAUGGGCAUGCAGUACAUUGCUUUUGGGUUUUUCUUUCUUUCUUUCUUUUUUUUUUUUGGCCAUGCCCAUGGCAGGCAGAAGUUCCUGGGCCAGGGAUCAAACCUACACUGCAUUAGUGACCCGAGCCAUAGCUGUGACAACACCAGAUCCUUAACCCACUAGACCACCAGGAAACUCCCUGCCAUGGGCAUGGCGAGUGCCACCUUUUUGUGGCACUCUACUAACUUAAUAGCUGUAUGACCUCAAGCCAGUCUUUUAAUCUCCCUGAACAUCCGUUUCCUACCGUACCUGCCUGCUUCACAGAGCUAUUGUGACUAUGGAAUGAGAUAAUGUAUUUGAAAUUGUCUGCAAACUCUAAAGCAUAAUGUGGUCAGAAUCCAUUACAAUAACUAAUUCAUUAGUCCUAAAUCUCUUUCAGGCUUCAAGAGGUUUUAGUAUUGUGAGAUGUGAUGAUCGAGUACUUAAGUACAUAAGACCAGAAAUUGUCACAUCCCAUCACAACCAUGGUUCAUUAAACCCAAUAUUGUCAUUGGCAGAGAAACUCAAGGGUACGUAGAAAGCUGCGGUUAUUGUCCUUGAUGUCAACUUCAGAGGAGAGUGACACAACCUAACGUGUUCUAAUUUGAGUUAGUAAUCAGGUGUGACUUUAUUCUCCGUGAUUUAAUCUAACCUUUUGGAAAGCACGCCCGCAUUAUCAACUUGUGCCCUCUUGUUCUCUAUUUUUGAAGCGAAGCUUUAUCUUUUCAUGUCUAAGCUUGGUAUGUUACCCUCAUUCGGCUUUCAAGGGAAAGGGACUUAGGGACUUAUUGCAGGACUCUAUGAAGAAGAAAGGAAACCCAGGAAAAACUCUCAGCCGCUGUACUUGCAGGCAUGGCGGAGAAUCUGAAUAUAGUUUUUUUUCCUUUCAGAAUCUAGUAAAAUAAUAGCAACCAAGCACUUAUAUAUGGUAUAAGCACUUUAUAUAAAUAUUCCCAUAUAACUGCACAACACGCUGUGCGGCAGGCUCUAUCAUUAUUGUCAUAUGUGCAAAAUGAGACACAGAGAGGUUAAGGAAGUUGUCUACGGUCACAGAGCUGGUAAGUGAAUUUGAACCCCAAAGAGUCUAACCGUAAGCGUGUGCUCUUAACUCUUUGCUGUUUGUUUCCUUAGGCCAUUCAGUCAAAAGUGUUUCUCACUUUCAUAACACUGCCGAAUUCUGACUUGGUGUUGACUUCCGUGCUCCCUCCCUUUUGGUCUUAACUGAAAACUUCCCCAGAGAGAGAAUAUGAUUGGGUCUAUUUGUCACUAGUGAGUAGGGACACCCCCUCCACCACUUUUGGCUUCAUGUGGGGGUCUCAUGACAGCCGCUUUGGCUCCUUUACGAAGCUGUCUUUAGCAGGUUACUGGCCCUAUCAGUUUUGACAGGAUCAUAAGGUCACAUGACACAAAGCAAGGCUUUUCAGAGAAAAGCCUGUGGGCCAGGCAGGCACCUAGAGGUUUUGGACCAUCCGUCCAGCCUUGCUAAAUGCAGAAUGUUCUCUGAUUACAGUAGAGGCUUCUGUCUCUGCUCCUCACCUUGUUCGUGAAAUGAUGGACUUCAAGGAUCCCCCUUUGCCCUUGCCUUUUUAGGCAGAAGAGCCCUUAUUCUUUCUCCAACAUUGUUCUGGUCUUUCUCGGUUCUGUUAUGAAUUUAUUCAGAUAUAGAAAUCAGAUGGAUGACAUUUUUUUUUUCCCCCCAGACUAAAUGCACCAAGGUUUUGAAGACGAGAGGGUCAUCUUUAUCCUUUGUUUCUAGCAUCUUCAAGUUGAAGCCUCUCAGAAUAAAGUCUCAUUUCUUUAACAUGGUGUGAGGGACAAUAACUGCCCGGGCUCAGUGGCUCUCUCUAGGGUUAUCUAUAGACACGUCCCUAGACAAGCCCUGCGGGAGAACCACACUCAGGUGCCAGUAUGUAGCAUUAAGUACUCUAAAACCCCCAGCCACCGCUCAGGCUCUUUCUCUUGAUGUCUUCGUCAUGAUAGAGUAGUUUUGAAAACUUGGGCUCUGGGGUCAGAUGAGUAUGGAUUUAAAUUCCAAUUGUCCUUGGCCAAUUUCUCAAACCCUACGAGCUUUCAUCUCCUCACCUGUCAAGUGGGGAUUACCAUACUUAUUCCCUUUGAUCAUUAAAUCAGAGAAUGCACAGAAAGUGGCCCCUCUGAUGCCUGGCAAAGAGUAAAUAGUCAACAGAAGGGCUCCCUGAUAUUCUCGGGGCCCAGCUUGGACACCUCUGCUCUUUCCUUUCUCUUGCUCUUCUAUAAACAAUGCCCAAUGUGCUCCUCCCCAUAGCUAUGGUGUUGGUCACUCAUCGGACAACCACAACACUUUAUACCUAGAUGACGGGAUAGUAUUCCAAGAUGUUAACCACUUUUCUUCCUGCAAUUUCCUUUCCAAAAUUGUUCAGCCCUCUGUUCAAACCACCAAGUCUUUUUGUACCACUACCUCAGGAAAAGGAUGUGACAGCGGAAAACAGGGAAAUCAGGAGACUCUCCCUGGUGUGGUUUUUUUUUUUACUUGCCACACCUACAGCAUGUGGACGUUCCUGGGCCAGGGAUUCAAUCUGAGCCAGAGCUGUCACCUAUGCCAUAGCUGUGGCAAUGCUGGGUCCUUUAAUCCACUGCGCGGGGCCGGGGAUCGAACCCAAGCCUAUGCAGCAGCUCCGGUCACUGCAGUUGGAUUCUUAACCCACUGCACCACAUUGGGAACUCCUGUUCCUGGCUUUUUGGUUCUAAAAAUCCAGUCCCUUAGGGAAUCAGAAGGACAUCAUACCUUGGGGGCCCCGCAGUUGUAAUAAGGAAAGGAUUGUGGCAGCUGUGGUAUAAGGGCAGCCACCACUCAGGGACAAUCAAUUGUUCCCAUGUAGGACUCUGGGACUGCUGUUAACAGAUUCUCCUCUUUUCAAGAGAAACUUAAAAAAUCAGACUUUAAAAAAAUGUGAAAUAUGAAAUUGAAUUUAUCACUCAUUGCGUAUUUUUAUUUCAAAACAUUUAUUCAAUACAGCUUUAUUCAAGAACAAACAAUGAGUAAGAACCUGAAAAUACAAACAAGACAAUCUCUGUUCCAGGAGCUCCUUGUCUGAAGGAGAGCCAGACACACAAACAGAGGAUAUGGUUGAGUGAUAAGUCUUAUGUUAGAGAGUGAUUCCCAGCCUGUGAGCCCUGGGCCAGCAGCAUCAGCAUCAUCGCCUGGGAACUUAUUAGAACUGCCAAACUAUGAAUCGGAAAGCUGCUUGUUUUAACAAGCUCUCCAGGCGAUUCAGAUGCAUGCCAAAGUUGGAGCGCCCACCUGAGAGUGGAAAGCAAAGCACACUUUGGAAGAGAAAGCCAAUACAUUUAGGCCAAACUUGAGAUUUGUUCCAUUGAGAAAUCGCUUCCUGGUCCCUUCCAGACUAGAUUCUAAAUAUGUUUCUCUAUGAUAGCUGACAAGGAUGAUACGAAAGGGUAUCAAUCUCUUUAAGUAAACGAUAAGAACUUUAAGAGCAGGGUGUGAUUCUUCUUUUAAUUUUCCCUUCUCCCCCUCCUUUCAGAUAUCAGAACAAUACUGAGAAAGUACAGGCAUUGGAAUUUACUUGAAAUAGCUAAUUUAGAAAUUAGACCAUCUACGCUGGUGCAAGAAUUAUACAUUCACUAUGAGAAAAUGGCAAAUGCAUAUUGAUAAAUGUUCAUAAUUUCCUGUGACAAAAUAUACACAAAAGUUACCAUUUCAACCAUUUAACAAAUAUACAGUUAAGUGGUUUUUUGGUUUUUGUUUUUUUGGCUACACCCAUGGCAUGUGGAAGUUGCCCAGGAAGGGAUCAAACCCAAGCCAUAGUAAUGACCUGAGCCACAGCAGUGACAACACCAGAUCCUUAACCUACUUAGCUAGCAGGGAACUCCUGGAAAAUUUAAAAAUUUUCAUGGAACCAUAAAAUUAUGGCUAGAAUUAUAUUAAUAAAUCUAUGAAUAUUUUUCUUUAUGAUUUCUGUUACCAUCCUUGAAAGCAGUCACCACUCAAUGCUAAUGGAUGUAUUCAAUUAUAUUUUCUUCUAAGUUUCUGUUAAUUUAAUACACACAGGAUUUGCUUAGAUGUAUGUUUUUUCCUAAAUGGCUAAUCAGCAGUUUUAGCAUCAUCCUUUCUUUUUCUUUUGGCUGCACCCGCGGUGUGUGGAAGUUCUGGGCCAGGGAUCCAGGGAAUUAAACAUGCACCACAGCAAUGACCCAAGCUGUUGCAGUGACAACGCCAGAUCCUUAACGAUCUGUGCCACAACGAAAAUCCCCAACAUCGUUUUUUUUGCAUAAGCCAUCUUUCCUCCGCUGAUUUAAAAUGACAUCUUCUCAUAAUAAAUUUCUGCUGGUAUUUACUCCUGGAUCUUCUGUCUAGUCCUUUCAGAAUAUGACAUUGUCUUAAUUACUGUCCUGUUAUGCUCUACUCUCUAGGUGAGUUAAGUCCUCCUUGCUUUGUGGUUAUUAAUGGUCAUAUAACAGUCCAUCAUGUAGCUGAAACCUGGCCUCUGUUCAUAGGUACCAACUAAGUCUUAGAGACAGAGAUUUGGGUGAAGCAGAAAGAAGAGCUUUACUGCUUUGCCAGGCAAAGGAGGCCACGACAGGCUAACAUGCUCAAAACCGUGUCCUCUCUUGAGAGGGGAUAGCAAGGAGUUUUAAAAGUUUAGCUAAAAAACCCACCCAACCUAACAACAAGAACAACAAAAAACCAAGGCUGUUGAUAAGGAUUAGGAUGCCUGCAUUUUUCUCCUGCCAUAGAUCAUUUCAAAGUCAUCCAGGCUGGCCUCAGGUGGUCCUGUGACAGUUUCUGGUGGUCUUUGGGGUUAUUGCACUUUGACCUACUCUCUGCAAUGAAGAUGGCUUACAAGAGGUGAGUGUUUCCAAGGAAAAGAAGACACCAGGUGGGCAAUGUAACUCUUAACUAGAAAGUAAUCAUUAGCUGCAGUUCCUGUCGUGGCUCAGUGGUUAACGAAUCUGAACAGGAACGAUGAUGUUGCGGGUUUGAUCCCUGGCCUCACUCUGUGGGUUAAGGAUCCCGUGUUGCCGCGAGCUGUGGUACAGGUCAUAGACUCUGCUUAGAUCCUGCGCUGCUUCGGUGUAGGCUGGUGGCUACAGCUCCAAAUUAGACCCCUAGCCUGGGAACCUCCAUAUGCCACAGGUGUGGCCCCAGAAAAGACCAAAAAAAAAAAAAA
RNAcentral lists this long non-coding RNA (6429 nucleotides) under Sus scrofa (pig). Its description in RNAcentral is "lncRNA (ENSSSCG00060011961.1)". Lineage: Eukaryota; Metazoa; Chordata; Mammalia; Artiodactyla; Suidae. The record is from RNAcentral.